UAAUACGAACCGUCCAAACGUUACUCGGAAUUACUGGGCUUAAAGGGUGCGUAGGCCGCGCGGAGGGUGGGAUGUGAAAUCCCCCGGCUCAACCGGGGAAUAGCGUCCCAAACCGCCGUGCUCGAGGGAGACAGAGGUGAGCGGAACUGAUGGUGGAGCGGUGAAAUGCGUUGAUAUCAUCAGGAACACCAGUGGCGAAAGCGGCUCACUGGGCCUUUCCUAACGCUGAGGCACGAAAGCUAGGGGAGCGAACGG
Molecule: ribosomal RNA, 255 nt
Filed under: uncultured prokaryote
Description: partial 16S ribosomal RNA
Rfam family: Bacterial small subunit ribosomal RNA
Source: RNAcentral